AGUGAACGCUGGCGGCGUGCUUAACACAUGCAAGUCGAACGGUAGCAGAUAGAAGCUUGCUUCUAUGCUGACGAGUGGCGCACGGGUGAGUAAUGUAUAGCUAACGUGCCCCUUAGAGGGGGAUAACAGUUGGAAACGGCUGCUAAUACCCCAUACUCCUUCUAUCUUAAUGAUAGUUGGGAAAUGUUUUUUCGCUAAGGGAUCGGGCUAUAUGGUAUCAGCUAGUUGGUGAGGUAAUGGCUCACCAAGGCAAUGACACCUAGCUGGUCUGAGAGGAUGAUCAGCCACACUGGAACUGAGACACGGUCCAGACUCCUACGGGAGGCAGCAGUGGGGAAUAUUGCACAAUGGGGGGAACCCUGAUGCAGCAACGCCGCGUGGAGGAUGACACAUUUCGGUGCGUAAACUCCUUUUAUAUAGGAAGAUAAUGACGGUACUAUAUGAAUAAGCACCGGCUAACUCCGUGCCAGCAGCCGCAGUAA
Molecule: ribosomal RNA, 482 nt
Filed under: uncultured bacterium
Lineage: Bacteria
Description: partial 16S ribosomal RNA
Rfam family: Bacterial small subunit ribosomal RNA
Source: RNAcentral